GGGCCCGCACAAGCCGGUGGAGCAUGUGGUUUAAUUCGAUGCAACGCGAAGAACCUUACCUACUCUGACAUCCCAGAGAACUUUCCAGAGAUGGAUUGGUGCCUUCGGGAACUCUGAGACCAGGUGCUGCAUGGCUGUCGUCAGCUCGUGCUUGUGAAAUGUUGGGUUAAGUCCCGCAACGAGCGCAACCCUUAUCCUUUGUUGCCAGCGGUUAGGCCGGGAACUCAAAGGAGACUGCCAGUGAUAAACUGGAGGAAGGUGGGGAUGACGUCAAGUCAUCAUGGCCCUUACGAGUAGGGCUACACACGUGCUACAAUGGCGCAUACAAAGAGAAGCGACCUCGCGAGAGCAAGCGGACCUCAUAAAGUGCGUCGUAGUCCGGAUUGGAGUCUGCAACUCGACUCCAUGAAGUCGGAAUCGCUAGUAAUCGUAGAUCAGAAUGCUACGGUGAAUACGUUCCCGGGCCUUGUACACACCGCCCGUCACACCAUGGGAGUGGGUUGCAAAAGAAGUAGGUAGCUUAACCUUCGGGA
Molecule: ribosomal RNA, 533 nt
Filed under: Enterobacter sichuanensis
Lineage: Bacteria; Pseudomonadati; Pseudomonadota; Gammaproteobacteria; Enterobacterales; Enterobacteriaceae
Description: bacterial SSU rRNA
Rfam family: Bacterial small subunit ribosomal RNA
Source: RNAcentral